Molecule: non-coding RNA, 1776 nt
Organism: Penaeus vannamei (Pacific white shrimp)
Lineage: Eukaryota; Metazoa; Arthropoda; Malacostraca; Decapoda; Penaeidae
Source: RefSeq, a predicted model, not a curated record
CGGCCUUCUCUUGUCUGCGGACUCGGGCUUGACGGGAGGAGCUCGUGUGCCAAUGUGUUUCCCGCCAGUCAAGUGGCCGCCACUCUACCCUGCACGUGGGAAACUUUAGAUUUUGAGUUUUUCUGUACAACGGCAACAUGGGCGACAACGAAGAGCACACGAUCGCGGAGGAUUUCGUCGUGACCAAGUAUAAGAUGGCCGGCGAGAUUGUCAACCGGACGUUGAAGAAGCUUGUGGAAAUGUGCGUCCCUGAUGCAUCAGUUCGUGGCAUCUGUGUUGAGGGUGACAAAAUGCUAAUGGAGGAAUGCAAUAAAGUAUUCAAGAAGGAGAAGACCAUGAAAAAAGGUCUUGCUUUUCCAGUGUGUGUUUCAGUUAAUAACUGCAUCAACCACUAUUCACCUCUGUUCUCGGACAAGGACAGCACACUGAAGAAUGGCGAUAUGGUCAAAAUUGACAUGGGUGCCCACUUAGAUGGGUUGAUUGCAGUAGUUGGCCACACUGUUGUUGUUGGUGCUUCAAAAGAAAGCAAGGUUACUGGACGGAAAGCUGAUGCGAUUCUAGCUGCAUAUUAUUCUUCAGAGGCUGCACUUCGACUUGUGAAACCUGGCAACCAGAACUUUGCUGUUACAGUACCGUCACAAAGAUUAGCAAGACCUUUAAGUGUAAACCGGUGGAAGGCAUGUUGUCUUUCCAGCUUCAACAGCGGACGUAUUGAUGGUGAAAAGACUAUUAUCCAGAACCCAACAGAAGCACAGCGGAAGAAGUAGAAAAACAGACCUUGAAACACAUGAAGUUUAUGCAGUAGAUGUCAUUGUUUCCACAGAGAAGGCCAGGUAUGGCAGGGAGAUGGAUGCACGUGUUACAAUAUUUAGGAAAACUGAUGAAGUUUACCAUCUAAGUUAAAGGCAUCCCGAGAAUUCUUCGCUCAGGUCCAGAAAGGCUACCGUGAUAUGCCUUUCAAUUUGCGAUUAUUUGAGGAUGAGAAAAGCAACAGGGUGUCCUAGAAUGCGUAUCUCACAAGUUGAUUGAUCCAUAUCCAGUCUUGUGGAACGGGUAAAAAGGAGAAUUUGUUGCACAGUUCAAGUUCACUGUCCUCUUAAUGCCAGGUGGACAACACAGGAUUACAGGAUUGCCAUUUGAUCUUGAAUCAUUUGAGUCCCAAUACAAGAUUGAAGAUCCUGAACUGAAGCAACUGAUCAUCUCUUCUGUUAGUAACAAGAAUUCAAAGAAGAAGAAGAAGGCUGAUAAAGAGACUGCAACAGUGGUGAAGAAAGGAGACUAGCAAAACUCCACUCUAGGAAAUACAAGCCCCAUUGAAGCCAGAUGUGUAGAAGGGAGGAUGCUUCGGGAAAGUGUAUUUAGAAAAGGGCUGGUUUUGGAGAGUCCCAGGAUCACUUUUCUUUCCUUGGGAACUGGAGGAGCUUCUUUGCUGUAUCCACAGUCCGACAUCAUUUCCUCUUGAUAGGCCGACAAAUGCUCAGAAAUUCAUCAGUGUGGUAUAGUCUCAAACUGCCAUUGAGAAACCACUUCUUUUCCUCCUCCAUAAUUUUUCUAAUUUUAAUCCUUGAUUUUACUCUUGUCUCCUUUCCUAUACUGCUUUAUACUCUUCCUGAUGAUUUCUAAUAAGCUGUACUUUUUAUUCAGUUGAAUUUUAUAAUUGGAUUUUUUGUGCAUUCAAAAUUUUUUUUGGUGGUGUCAAGAGGCCUGCAGGGAAUAUGGGAGACUGUAUAACAGUAAUAUUAAAUUCCAAUUGAAUAUGAGGAUGGGUAUAUCAUU